GUCGUCCGUCACCUUACUGCAGCCGGACAACGACAGGACGGUCAAGUUGGGCAAGGAGUUCACUGUAGAGAAGACAAAAUUAGGAAUUCGUCAAAGCGAUGAACUAAGAGCAAGUAGAGGACACAGGAGAUGUGUUCCUGGCUUCAACGCGUUGAGAGGAGAAUUCUUACCGAUAUUGACCACACCGUGGUUGGUGAGCUCCCAGCAGGAUUGGAGCCUGAGGAUGCUG
Long non-coding RNA from Osmia bicornis bicornis, 229 nucleotides. RefSeq lists it as uncharacterized. NCBI's taxonomy places the organism in Eukaryota, Metazoa, Arthropoda, Insecta, Hymenoptera, Megachilidae. The transcript is spliced from 3 exons. The record is from RefSeq and is a predicted model, not a curated record.